GUUUUCAAAAUUUUCGGUCAACAAGUUUUCUUUUGUAAAUAUUUAUUUAUCUUAGGUUUAAGUAUAAAGUGUUUAAAAUAGGUUAAGUUGUGAUAUCUUAGGUUUAAGCAUAAUUUGUCGAGAAGACAACACAGAUGAAGCCAUACAGAACAAAAAAAACAGAGAAAUAAGCAGGUGAAAGAAAGUAAGCAUACACAAACGGCAGAAAGGAAAAAUACUAAAAAAAAAAUUACCAGACUUACGCUAGCAAUGAAUGCAAAUGGAAACGGAAAGAACUUACCUUGAUAGAAAAUAAAACGCAGUAAAGGAACUACUACAACAAUACUAAUAACUAUAACUAGCUCUAAUCAAGUACCAAUUAGUAUCGCAUAGCAAGUUCCAAUUAGCAACGCAUAACAAUUCCCUAAGAGGAUCGCAUAAGGGGCCUUUGGGAAACGAUUAUGAUGUGGAUCGCAUAAAUCCUGAUUAAGAAUACCGGAUGUACGAGGAGGCAGUCACAAUGGAUAGAAGAAAGUAAAAUGUAAAGAAAGCAAAGAACCAGCAAAAAAAGAAAAAAAUGGAAAAAAGUCCUGAAAAAAUGUGUAAAAAAAAAAACGAAGAGUAACGGAAACCUAACACAAAAAGACAACUACAAAAUUAUGGUAACUCGAGGAAAAGCCUCUCCAAGGAUCAAAAAUCAAAUAGGGAAAGCUCCUUCGAACCGACUACCGGCAUCGGAAAACUUCUUGGACGUUGAAGCAGCAUUUAUAUCCCUCCAAAGUGCUGUCUUCUCGUCCAGUGCAAAGAGUCGAGCCCGAGAUCCUAACUGGGACUUUUAAUUGAUUAAUAUUUAAGUCUACUUAACUGGCUUACAAAAAUAUACUGAACAAAAAAAGACAAUUACAAAAUUAUGGUAACUCGAGGAAAAGAAUCUCUAAGGCUCCGAAAUCAAACAGGGAAAGCUCCUUAGGACCGACUACCGGCAUCGGAACACUUCUUGGACGUUGAAGCAGCAUUUAUAUCCCUCCAAAGUGCUGUCUUCUCGUCCAGUGGAAAGAAUCGAGGAGAGAUCCUAACUGGGACUUUUACUUGAGCAAUAUUUUAGUCUACUUAACUGGCUCACAAAAAUA
Long non-coding RNA from Drosophila serrata, 1109 nucleotides. NCBI's taxonomy places the organism in Eukaryota, Metazoa, Arthropoda, Insecta, Diptera, Drosophilidae. The record is from RefSeq and is a predicted model, not a curated record.